UAAAUUUUAGUUUAAUUAAAAUUUAAUAAUUACAAUAUUAAGAUAUAAAAUUUAUAAAUUUAA
Molecule: transfer RNA, 63 nt
Filed under: Cotesia flavipes
Lineage: Eukaryota; Metazoa; Arthropoda; Insecta; Hymenoptera; Braconidae
Description: tRNA-Val
Source: RNAcentral